Molecule: ribosomal RNA, 373 nt
Filed under: uncultured organism
Description: bacterial SSU rRNA
Rfam family: Bacterial small subunit ribosomal RNA
Source: RNAcentral
CAGAGGGUGCAAGCGUUGUUCGGAAUUACUGGGCGUAAAGCGUGCGUAGUCGGUAUUGAGAGUCGCGGGUGAAAUCCCAGGGCUUAACCCUGGAACUGCCUGCGAGACCUCAGUACUAGAGUGUGAGAGGGGAUAGUGGAAUACCCAGUGUAGCGGUGAAAUGCGUAGAGAUCGGGUAGAACACCGGUGGCGAAGGCGGCUAUCUGGCUCACAACUGACGAUCAGGCACGAAAGGCGUGGGGAGCAAACAGGAUUAGAUACCCUGGUAGUCCACGCCGUAAACUAUGCAUACAAGCUGUAGUGGGGUUUUACUCCUGCUGUGGCGAAGCUAACGCAAUUAGUAUGCCGCCUGGGGAGUACGGUCGCAAGACUA